This 728-nucleotide ribosomal RNA is filed under the name uncultured Planctomycetota bacterium. RNAcentral's name for it is "bacterial SSU rRNA". It matches the Rfam family "Bacterial small subunit ribosomal RNA", at positions 558 to 1278 of the family's 1533-position model. Lineage: Bacteria; Pseudomonadati; Planctomycetota. The record is from RNAcentral.
GCUUGAGCACGUAGGUGGGUUUGUAAGUCAGGUGUGAAAGCCUUCUGUUCAACGGGAGAAUUGCAUCUGAAACUACGAAUCUUGAGUGUAGGAGGGGAGAAUGGAACUUCUGGUGGGGCGGUGAAAUGCGUAGAUAUCAGAAGGAACGCCGGCGGCGAAAGCGAUUCUCUGGCCUAUUACUGACACUCAGUGUGCGAAAGCUAGGGGAGCAAACGGGAUUAGAUACCCCGGUAGUCCUAGCCGUAAACGAUGGGCACUAAGUAGUGGGAAUUACCGAUGUUCUCUCUGCCGUAGCUAACGCAUUAAGUGCCCCGCCUGGGGAGUACGGCCGCAAGGCUAAAACUCAAAAGAAUUGACGGGGGCUCGCACAAGCGGUGGAGCAUGUGGCUUAAUUCGAUGCAACGCGAAAAACCUUACCGGGGCUUGACAUGUUAGAAGUAGGAACCUGAAAGGGUAACGAACGGUAUCCAGUCCGUAGCUAUCACAGGUGUUGCAUGGCUGUCGUCAGCUCGUGUCGUGAGACGUUGGGUUAAGUCCCCUAACGAGCGAAACCCUUGUUUUUAGUUACCAGCGGGUUAUGCCGGGUACUCUAGAAAGACUGCCGUCGUCAAGACGGAGGAAGGUGGGGAUGACGUCAAGUCAUCAUGGCCCUUAUGCCCCGGGCUGCACACGUGCUACAAUGGUCGGUACAAACGGAAGCGAAGCCGAGAGGUGAAGCGAAUCCAAGC